This 2483-nucleotide unclassified non-coding RNA is filed under the name Hevea brasiliensis (rubber tree). The record is from RNAcentral. Lineage: Eukaryota; Viridiplantae; Streptophyta; Magnoliopsida; Malpighiales; Euphorbiaceae.
UUUGCAUCUAAAUGCAAAUGUACUUUUGGACUAGUUGGUGGUGAGUAAUUGAUUGGGUGGGUAAGGAAUGCUCAAAGGAAGAAUUUGCUUUCGAGAAGAGAUUAGAAAACCCCAAUGAUAGAGGAGUGAUAAGGAAUCAUCUUUUUAAUAACAGAAUAUUUACUUUAUAGCUUAGCUCAUGUAUUUACUAUAUAGCAUUUGUAGUGAAGAAAUGAACAGAAAAUAAAUGUGGCCCCUCUAUUGCUUUCCUUUUGACAAGGAUUCAUUUUUUACCCAAUUUCUCUUUCCUUUGAGUUUUAGGCUAGCGGACAGCACCAAUUAUGUCAUAACCAUUUACUAGUUUUCCAUAUUUGGUUAUCAAAUUUGUUAUGUUUGUAUCCUUAAUGUGAUAGGUUUCAGUGCGAUCUUAUAUAUUUUGAUGAGAUGGGGAUCCCAAAGUAUAGUAGUUUGUAAAAAUUAAAUUCACAAUUGUAAUAUCUUUCCAUUGAUACUGUACUUUACAAUAUUUCUUGAAUUUUUUGUCGUUGAGUUUUACAUAUACUUUCUUAACUUGUUUCUAUGCCUAAUCAGUAUCUCUCUCUGUUCCCUUCCAUGUUGGAACCAUGGUGAUAAUAGAUGAAGGUAGUUGAUGAUUCAAGAUCAAUACUUCAUCGGAUAGUUGAUUCCUUUCUGAAUAAAUUUUUUCCCACUGGAUAUCCUUACAGUGUGAAUGAGGGAUACCUUAAAUACACACAAUUUCGGGCGCUGCAGCACUUCUCCAGUGCAGCAUUGUCUGUGCUGUCAACUCAGUCGCUGCUAUUUGCUGCAGGCUUGCGUCCUACACCUGCACAAUCAACAGCUGUAAGCUGGGUAUUGAGGGAUGGGAUGCAGCAUGUGGGAAAGCUGAUAUGUAGCAAUUUGGGUGCUAGAAUGGAUUCAGAACCAAAACGUUGGAGAAUACUGGGUUUCUUUCUUAUCUUUGGAAUAUUCAUUUUUUCCCUCGUUUUCAUGCUCAAUUUCACAUUUUGAGUGUGAGCUGGAGUUGGCCCAAGUCAUGCAUUACUUUUACAAGGUUUCUAACUAGAAGGAGCUGUCCAUAUUUCAGCUGAUGUGCUCUAUGAUUUGGGAACUGGCUUAGAAGUUCUUUCUCCCUUAUGUCCUCAUCUUUUCCUUGAGGUGGCUGGCGUUGGUAAUUUUGCAAAGGUCUGUUUCUAAUUAUUAACAACUUUAUCUGGACAAAAUUAAAAUGUUAAGGUAGCUCAUUUGAAUUUUUUUGGGUUUCUUGUUCUUCUUGUUCUUUUCUGCAAUUAAUUCUUCCAUGGUUGCUGAGAAUGUGCUUUCCCUUCUCCAAUUUCUCUGUACUCCUUCCUUUUUACCCUUUCCUCUAUAUUGAUUUUAGUUGCUCGUUAAAUUUUAUAGGGGAUGGCAGUAGUUGCAGCAAGAGCAACAAGGCUACCAAUAUAUUCAUCAUUUGCUAAAGAAGGCAAUCUUAGUGACCUAUGUGCUAAAGGGGAGGCCAUUUCAACACUUUUCAAUGUUGUUGGAAUGGGAGCAGGAAUUCAAUUAGCAUCUACUAUUUGUUCAUCAAUGCAGGGGAAGAUGAUUGUGGGCCCCCUUCUUUCCAUUGUACAUGUUUAUAGUGUCAUUGAAGAAAUGCGAGCUGCCCCUGUCAAUACACUAAAUCCUCAGAGGACAGCCAUGGUUGUGGCUGAUUUUGUGAAGACUGGAAAGAUAUCAAGUCCUGCUGAUCUAAGAUACUGUGAAAAUCUCAUAUUUCCUGGGAGACUAGUAGAAGAUGCUGGCAAUGUAAAAGUGGGACGGGCUUUGCACGAAGUUUUUACGCCUUCAAAACUUCAUGAAGUUAAAGAUAUGUUCCCGGAAGAGAAGUUUCUUUUGAAUUGUGGGAAUAAAUGGAGUGACAUGGUACUAGAACAAAAUGCUUCAGGUGAAGAUGCAUUGAGGGGAUGGCUGGUUGCUGCAUAUGCUGCAAGCAUGAAGAAGUAUUCUCAUGAAUCUAGCAACAUUGUACUGCAAGAUGCUUAUCUGAAAAUGAAUAGCAUAUUUGAUUCAUUCUUGUCUGAACUGCAGGCCAAAGGGUGGCAUACCGAUCGCUUUUUGGAUGGAACAGGUAGCCGUUUUUCAUGGUAGCAUUUUCUAGAUUUGAAUGAUAGUCCGUCCACUCCCUUCAGAUUCUUGGUUUAAAAUGAGUAGGGCAGCUGGUUAACGUGUUUAUAUAAUAGAAAUGUAUUUUAUUCAGGGAAGUGGCAUUGUGCAACUAUGUUGAACUAUUUUUCCACACCCUUGUCAUUCAAGAUUGUCCUGACCAGCUUUUGCUUACGAGUUAUUGACUGCUGGUUGGGCUCUUCUAAUUGUAAGUCCAAGAGCCUGACCAAAUUACUUUUGGUGCAACACCAGUUUAUGAUUCAAUUGUUUACUUAGAAAUUACAAUGUACUUUCAUAUUUCUGUAUUAAUUAGUGAAGUUACUAUGGAUUAUAUGUUUCAG